This 1176-nucleotide long non-coding RNA is filed under the name Helianthus annuus (common sunflower). The record is from RNAcentral. Lineage: Eukaryota; Viridiplantae; Streptophyta; Magnoliopsida; Asterales; Asteraceae.
GUAGAUUACUAUUCCAGAAAUACAUGAACAUAACAUAGUUGUCACAAGAAAACUUUAUAUCCAGGAAGAACAUAAAGAAAACUAGCGGCUCAUCAUUUGGUUGAUCAUCAUUACAUUACUUCAACUCUGUUAUUCAUACGAAUCAAAGAUGCAAAAGUAGCAAUAAACAAACCCAAGACAAUGUUUUGAAACCUAAUUUUCGCCUCUAACAAGUUAUGAAACGAAAGUAGUGAAAAGGAUAAUCAAAAGUCUCGAAAAAGUAUAAUCAAAAGUCUCCACCAAACUUCAUUUUAAAGGAAAUGGAACAUUUGACGUCUGGCCUCCACCGUAAGCUACGGUGGCUACCGUAGCUUACGGUGGCCACAAAAAUGCUACGGUGGGGAUCUACUGGUCUACAUGUCCUCUACGGUGUUCAAACCUACCAUAGCUUAGGGUGGGCACUGUAAGCUACGAUAGAGCCCAGCUUUUUCCCACUUUGUUUUCUUCAAUAACUUCAUCUCUCCAAUCCAAAUGCGCAUUUCACUAAUCUUCCUUCUAUCGUCUUUUGCGCCUUCUUGUACCUCACAUGACAGACAUACCGUAGUCAUCCAACUCCUUAAAAAUAAACGCUUAAACGUAUAGUUUUUCAUUGUAAUUAUCAUUAAUAAGGGUUGUCCUACAGUCCGCCCGUCAGUAUCAAAUCGUACCGGGUCAUUUUCAUUACCCACUUUUUACAAUUUUCAGGUUUCAAUAUUUUCCAUCCGUUACGGGUAUUUUGGGUUGAUCUACCCUUGAAUACCGUACCAUAGCAGUAUCGCUCAUCCCUUCAUCCAAUGCAAAAAGACAGUUAAUGGUUACGAAAAUCUAAAAACUAAUACCACUAUACAGUGUAGCUUUAGCCCAUAAAAAGAAACCGACUCAUAAUCACCCUACGAAUUGGCGUUACAACUUGGAAAUUUGAUGAUUACGGGUUCUAAUCAACUUUCAUGUGAUCUGAAUCAAUUGUUUCAAAGGCAACAGAUUCACUUAUUCCUUAUCUUUCAGAUCAUAAAAACUAAUAAAUGAAAAAAUUAACACCAAGCAAGCAGGUAGAUCCAGCUACACAAAUUUCACACUGAUCUAUCUAUAUUGUAUAAAAUAAUGUUCCAAUCAACAACUUAGGUAUGAAUUUUGACCUAAAUAAACGAGAUCUGGAGA